AUCAAUCAAGGCUGUUGCUGGCGCCUCGAGCGCAUGUGCACGCUUCUUUGUUUUCUCCCACUGUGCACAAACCUGUAGACCCUUUCUUGAGGAUUGCCGUGCGAAAGUUGGCUCUCCUUGUCGUCUAUGCUUUCACAACCUANGAAUGUAUCUAGAAUGCUUUUGAAUCUGGGGAAUACACAUACAACUUUCAGCAACGGAUCUCUUGGCUCUCGCAUCGAUGAAGAACGCAGCGAAAUGCGAUAAGUAAUGUGAAUUGCAGAAUUCAGUGAAUCAUCGAAUCUUUGAACGCAUCUUGCGCUCCUUGGUAUUCCGAGGAGCAUGCCUGUUUGAGUGUCAUUUGAAACCUCUCAACCACCUUCAAGGUGGCUUGGAAAUGGGGGAUCGUUGCAGGCUUUGAAGUCUGCUCCCCUGAAAUGCAUUAGUGGUGUCUGGGCUGACUGCCACAGGUGUGAUAACUAUCAGUGCCUUGGUGGAGACCUCNCNGCUUCCAACUCUCUGAUGACCAGCUUGACCUCAAAUCAGGUAGGAUUACCCGCUGAACUUAAGCAUAUCAAUAAGCGGAGGA
Molecule: small RNA, 568 nt
Filed under: uncultured fungus
Lineage: Eukaryota; Fungi
Description: eukaryotic LSU rRNA
Rfam family: 5.8S ribosomal RNA (bases 186-339)
Source: RNAcentral